CCCUUCAAUUUAUUGCCUAGAUUGCUCUCUAAAACAUUAUACUGAUGCCAUACAAAAUUUUUCUCCUUCAAAAAUGCAGAUAUCUCAGAAUGCUUUUCAGAAGCAGCUUCUCAUAUUCAAACUUUAACCUUCUUACUUCAUCAUGCAACCUUUUAGAACCAGCAGAGUUUAAAUCGCCAUGGCGACCUCCUUCCUUUCCAUUGUCAGUUUCCUUGGAAUUUUU
RNAcentral lists this unclassified non-coding RNA (223 nucleotides) under Hevea brasiliensis (rubber tree). The record is from RNAcentral. Lineage: Eukaryota; Viridiplantae; Streptophyta; Magnoliopsida; Malpighiales; Euphorbiaceae.